This 172-nucleotide ribosomal RNA is filed under the name Escherichia coli. RNAcentral describes it as "partial 16S ribosomal RNA". It matches the Rfam family "Bacterial small subunit ribosomal RNA", at positions 1362 to 1533 of the family's 1533-position model. The record is from RNAcentral. Lineage: Bacteria; Pseudomonadati; Pseudomonadota; Gammaproteobacteria; Enterobacterales; Enterobacteriaceae. RNAcentral also lists the same sequence under 7 other names.
GUGAAUACGUUCCCGGGCCUUGUACACACCGCCCGUCACACCAUGGGAGUGGGUUGCAAAAGAAGUAGGUAGCUUAACCUUCGGGAGGGCGCUUACCACUUUGUGAUUCAUGACUGGGGUGAAGUCGUAACAAGGUAACCGUAGGGGAACCUGCGGUUGGAUCACCUCCUUA